Molecule: long non-coding RNA, 201 nt
Filed under: Vigna radiata
Lineage: Eukaryota; Viridiplantae; Streptophyta; Magnoliopsida; Fabales; Fabaceae
Description: long non-coding RNA (VRAD_LNC010456)
Source: RNAcentral
GCAGAUAGAAAGCACUGCUUGGGUUGGAUGACUGAUCGGAUUGAUCCAUGGAAGAAAAGAAAGCAAGAAACCAGCCCAAGAAUGCACCAAGAUCAGUAGCAGGCGAAGCGGAAGCAGAGCAGGUACUAGACCUGCUCUGAUACCAUAUCAGAACGAGCCCAACACUGUGCACUUAAACUUUGAGGCCCAAUCAUCUCUGGC